Long non-coding RNA from Gymnodraco acuticeps, 1129 nucleotides. RefSeq lists it as uncharacterized. Lineage: Eukaryota; Metazoa; Chordata; Actinopteri; Perciformes; Bathydraconidae. The record is from RefSeq and is a predicted model, not a curated record. The transcript is spliced from 3 exons.
GCCAAUGAGAGGAGGAGCCAGGAAUCAGAUAUAGGCUCGGUCCAUGUAGAAUCGGUCUCUCUUCUUCACCCUUCUUCGAACAUGGCGCUGUGUUCUUGAUUUGCUCUGUCUGUUUCAAAACCUUCAUUUUUUACUUCAUUAAAGUACACCAUUUGAACUUUUCCGGGACUACAUUGUCUCUUUUUAACGUCCUCCUGGACUCGAGAACAAGAACAACGAGCAAAUCUACACUAGUCAGCUUUUGGUUACGGUCCCCUUUUCCGCCCAAAAUGUGGCAAUGAAAUGAAUUGUGUGAAAUGUGGAUUUGUGUCUGCCCUGGCAGCUCCUUGAGAAGUGCUGCUCUGGGAGCAUUCACUAUUUUCACCCUAUACCGUUCCUCUCUAUCCUGGGCUUCAUCAUCAAUAUCGACGCGUUGAUGGUUCCUGUGCUGCUUGAAGGACAGCGAUAUGUCCUGACCGACAGGUUCAGCCAGGACCACUUCGAGCUUCUCUUUAACUCCAUCAGAGCAUAAGGUGGCUGGAAUAACAACCCUAAUACCAGCCAGGUCAAAUACAUCUUCCGGAAGCUGAUGGUCCGGUGUGGGGUUGUUAAACCAAGCAGCAAAGGCAAUGUGACGGCACAGGAUGACACAGAGUCCCUACCAGCUGUAGCAAUGUCCUCUGCUGCCCAGUCCUACCACAUCGACACAUCUACAAACCUGUCAGCUGCAAAUAUGUCCAUCCCCAUUUGCUGACAUUCCUGCCCUUGUACAUGACCACAGCUGCCUUCCCACCCGCUUCAAUGGUCUUGUGGACAACGCUCUCGUGUACAUUUCAGGUAUAGUUAUCAAACUACCGUAAAUGAUAACUGCCGUAAAGUAUUUCCAGUAUUAUUAAAGUAUUGAUUACAACGUUUAAAAUUCAAUAAAUGAAAAAGUCAUGAAAGAUAAUAUGAGGAGGAAAGGCGUGUUUAGUUAUGUAUUGAAUGUACAAUGUCAAAAUCUUCUGUUAUGUGCGAUAUCGGACAUUGGUGAAAGGAGGGCGGAAGAUGACGCCACAGCCUCCAUUGAAGAGGAGGAGCCAAAUGAGAUAUAUAGUCAGGUGACGGAGCCUUGUGGACGCUCUUUCUGGACGGCCGCGACUGCGGGAGG